CCUACGGGGGGCUGCAGUGGGGGAUAUUGCGCAAUGGGGGAAACCCUGACGCAGCAACGCCGCGUGAAGGAAGAAGGCCUUCGGGUCGUAAACUUUUGUCCUCAGGGAAGAAGAACUGACGGUACCUGAGGAGGAAGCCACGGCUAACUACGUGCCAGCAGCCGCGGUAAUACGUAGGUGGCGAGCGUUGUCCGGAUUUACUGGGUGUAAAGGGCGUGUAGGCGGGAUGGCAAGUCAGGUGUGAAAUACCAAGGCUUAACCUUGGGGGUGCACUUGAAACUGCUGUUCUUGAGUGUCGGAGAGGAAAGCGGAAUUCCUAGUGUAGCGGUGAAAUGCGUAGAUAUUAGGAGGAACACCAGUGGCGAAGGCGGCUUUCUGGACGAUAACUGACGCUGAGGCGCGAAAGCGUGGGGAGCAAACAGGAUUAGAUACCCGAGUAGUC
Molecule: ribosomal RNA, 442 nt
Filed under: uncultured Eubacteriales bacterium
Lineage: Bacteria; Bacillati; Bacillota; Clostridia; Eubacteriales
Description: bacterial SSU rRNA
Rfam family: Bacterial small subunit ribosomal RNA
Source: RNAcentral